This 450-nucleotide ribosomal RNA is filed under the name uncultured bacterium. RNAcentral describes it as "partial 16S ribosomal RNA". It matches the Rfam family "Bacterial small subunit ribosomal RNA", at positions 354 to 796 of the family's 1533-position model. The record is from RNAcentral.
GUGGGGAAUUUUGGACAAUGGGCGCAAACCUGAUCCAGCAAUGCCGCGUGCAGGAAGAAGGCCUUCGGGUUGUAAACUGCUUUUGUACGGAACGAAACGGUCCUGGUUAAUACCCGGGGCUAAUGACGGUACCGUAAGAAUAAGCACCGGCUAACUACGUGCCAGCAGCCGCGGUAAUACGUAGGGUGCAAGCGUUAAUCGGAAUUACUGGGCGUAAAGCGUGCGCAGGCGGUGCUGUAAGACAGGCGUGAAAUCCCCGGGCUUAACCUGGGAAUUGCGCUUGUGACUGCAGUGCUGGAGUGCGGCAGAGUGGGAUGGAAUUCCGCGUGUAGCAGUGAAAUGCGUAGAUAUGCGGAGGAACACCGAUGGCGAAGGCAAUCCCCUGGGCCUGCACUGACGCUCAUGCACGAAAGCGUGGGGAGCAAACAGGAUUAGAUACCCGGGUAGUCC